Molecule: long non-coding RNA, 1723 nt
Organism: Vespa crabro (European hornet)
Lineage: Eukaryota; Metazoa; Arthropoda; Insecta; Hymenoptera; Vespidae
Exons: 3
Source: RefSeq, a predicted model, not a curated record
CAUUAGUUGUUAGGAAACUGUCACCGAGCUUCGAUCACCAAAAAAGAAAAAAAAAGAAAAAAGAAAGAAAGAAACGUGUGCCUUUCGAUAUCACGGAAAACCUUUAAUCGAACAAGAAAGAAAUUUUAAAUGGAUCGAGUGCAUAGAAAAAAAAAAAGAAAAGAAAAGAAAGGUGUUCGCGUGCGAUUUGGCCCCACCCCGACGGACCGACGAUCGUGCACGCGCGCGUGUGUGAAUGCACCUCAUGCAUUGGAUGCAACUGCAAGUGGUCAGUAGCUCGCAAAACGACUGACCGCUCGGUACAUUGCUUCCGCACAUCUCGUCGAUCUUCCAACAUGAAAUUCGCACGACACGCGUCCCGAAUUUCUGAUUACUUCUGAUGUCCUACCGAGACGAGAUAUACUCGAACUAACGCUGAAAAUAAUUUAUUCGGUAACUCUGUUAAAAUACCAGUGAACGUAAAGUGACUUUAUUUCAGUGCUUUUAAAAAUUAAGUGAACUCGAUAAGGUUUUUCUUUUUUUUUCUUUUUUGGAUUAUUUAAUUAAAAUUGAAAAGAACAGGUGAAAUUAAAUUGGACGUUGUGAAUUUCGAAUAUUUUAUAAAUAUCAUAAUUCCGUAUAACGUAUGAAUGUAAUAUAAAACCAUACGUAUGAUAACAUUAUAGGAAAAUCCUGUGAGUGACAAUUCUUCGGUGAUAAAGUGAGUUUUAAUAACGUACGAAUAAUAAAGAAACCAUUGCAAAAAAUAUUAACGUUCAUUCUCGAAAAUGGUCGGUGCACGCGUGACAUUGCCGACGACGGGGAGGAUGGUUUAUCUCGAAUAUACAAUCCUCGCGGCCCUACCAACGCGUGUUCGAGGGUGGUAGGAGGGAUGGCUUGGGGUAGAUGGAAAAAGAAGGGGAAGAGAAAAAGGGAGAAACAGAAAGAGAGAGAGAGAGAGAGAGAGAGAGAGAGAGAGAGAGAGAGAGAGAAAGAAAAAGAUAGAGUAGAGGUCGACGAGGAGCCCUCGGUAACCAACGCCCACCGCCAACCACCCCCUACCCUUUAGCUUUUGCGACGUCUAUGGAGGGGUGCUCAACUGAGAAGAGGGGUGGAGAAGGGAGAAGAGAGAGGGCUCGAAGGCAACCCUACACGAAGUGCGCGAACUAACGACGUUCUUUCGCUUUUCGCAUGGAGCGAGACGGGGAGAAAAAAGCUAGGAGGAGGAGAAGGAGGAGGAGGGAGCCAGGCCUCCCCACCCCACCCCACCCCAUCCCCUCAUCACUCCUUCUCCGCUUCUCUUUUUUCAUCGCUCCUCUACUAUCUCUCUACUUUACUCUCUCGCACAUACACUCUUUUUUCCCCUCUCUCGCAUAAACGCAAACCCAAAGGCUGCAUCUAGUAGGUAAUGAUGUAGCCCGCUAGAUUUCCCGUGGAAAAUUACCUACGAACUUGGCCACGGAAUCAGGGUAAAAGCGUGCUUUCUCCUUUCUUUUCCUUCCUUUCUUUCUUUCUUUCUUUCUUUUUCUUUUUUUUUUUUUUUCUUUCAUUUUUUCCUUUUCUGUUCUAUUUCCUUCCUAUCUUUUCUUUAUUUCAAUGGAAAAAAAAUCAACCGUCCGUUUUCGACGCUCUAUACUUUAUCUUUCCAAAAAAUACGCUCUACUUCAAACUUUUUCGUCACUCCUCAUCGUCUCGUCCUUUAACGAACAAAAUUCAACAACAAUAUCGUUAUAAGACAAAAACG